ACACAUGGUAGCCCACAGCCACUCAACUUUGCCUAAAACUCUCAAAGCUUUUCUUUCUUUCCUCUUCUCUCUCUAAUUUUUUCUUUCUUUGCUUCUCUCCACACAUUUUGAGAGGUCACUCUAUUUCUCCCUACAGUAGUGCUAUUUUUUCUUACAUUUUCUAAAGCAAAACCCUAAAGUAAGAAGCAGAGGGGCUGAAGAAGAAACCAUCUCUGGCCAGCUGAGCUCCUCUUCUUCAAUUGAAACUCAAACCCAAUUUAUCCAACUCAAGCACAAUUACUCAAACCCAGUUUAUGCAACUCAAACUCAAUUCCUCCUCUUCGAUCCUUAAUUUAUGGAACCCCAUCCAACCAUAACUCCCAAAUCAAAAAAAAACUUAUUAAUAUAAAAAUUAAAAAAUCCAAAUCCAAACACAACAAUAAUUUUCAACCUUCUCUACAAACCCACAGGAAAAUAAUCCCAAAGAAAAAAAAAGAGCAUUUGGGAGAAUAUUGUUUGGUUUAUUCAUGAAUAUUCGUUGGGAUUGUUUGGUCGAUGAAUUCGACAAUCUCGAUCGAUUCAGGGAAAUUCAAUGAUGGGUUUCCAGACCCAAAAAAUGAAGGAAUCGAUGAUUGCCUCCGUGAAGUUUCCGGCGGUGAAGGCAGAAAUCGAUGAGCAGAGAGAGAAAGAGAAGGAGAGCAGAAAAUGAAGGAGUUUUUUUUUCCUCACCAAAGUAAUCUCAACCUUUGAUUCUAUUAGUGGGGCACGUGUCAAGCCCUUCCAGAUCACUCUAGAGGAUAACUCCACCAGAUCACUCUAGAGGAUCCUUGUGCUAACAGUUUCGCAUUGUAAUGGAAGCUCUGGAUAUUGUUCAUGUUAGCAAAGAGGAUCAAGAAAGUGUAUUUAAAAUGCUCACUGCAGUUUUGUGGUUGGGGAAUGUCUCCUUUACAGUGAUUGAUAAUGAAAACCAUGUUGAACCUGUGGCAGAUGAAGGUAACAAUCUACUAAAAAGAUAAAGUUUAACAGUUGCAUGGUUGCUUUGUUCAUUUGAUUUGUUGUUAUUUAUUUUGCUUGUAGGUGGAUUAUUGGCUGUAGGUAGCAACACUCCUAUUUGAAUGAACAAUCCUAUUUAUUGCAGUUUGGACAUACUAAUCUAUACUAGCCCUCCUUGAGCCUGUUGCUCUUGAGUAUGACCCCAUGCACCUCAGUUCAAGGGUUCAAAUGCUAGUGACAGAUUGCUAAAAUUGGACAUGGCAAUCCUUGUUGCAGUGAAGAGGUUUUGAAACCCCUUCAGAAAAUAUUGCAUUGCUGAUGGUACUUCAUGAAUGCCAUCAGCUGUUGUUAUAAUCAAAUCAAAAAUUUAGAAAACAAGCUCAUAGGAUUUUGGAAGAGGGGGAGGAACUAUUAAUAGAUUCGAUUGAUUGUUGAUAUUUGCUGAUAUCUACUUGUUUCUCUCACUUCAAUCCACUGUCUUGAUGAUAGCAUAGGUGGAUUAAUAAAUUCUUCCCAUACUUUCCUUUGUCUUUAAGCAAUAAGUUUUAUACAUGGGUGGAUUAAUAAAUUCUUCCCAUACUUUCCGUAGCAUGGGUGGAUUAAUAAAUUUUUCCCAUUCUGAACCAACAUAAAUUUGGUUAAUUUUAUAUGAUAAAUCAAUAAAUGGUGGGUUACAUAUCAGUUUUCUAGGAGAAUGGCUUUAAGCCAAACCUUGAUUGUACUAUUGUGGGUUAAAGAUCUGGGCAUUGAUAUUGUUUGAAUUUUAUGCAUAUUUUCUGAAAAUGAUAAAUGAAAGCUCAAUUUUCCAUCUUUCUGCUAUCUAUGCUCCCUUGAAUAUCAGGAAUCUCUUGACAACGUGCUAGUUGAACUCUACAAGGUACGCACAUUUCUUCAAAUCUGACCUUCUCUAUCACCAUAGAUAUAGCUGUUGAUUUGAUGUGAAUUUUGUUGGUAACAAUUAGGAGAAUUUGGAAAUGCAACUUUUGUGUAUGGAUGACUCGUGUGAUUUUCAUAGCAUUUGGAAAGAAUGCCUUUUUGGUUUUCGUGGCAUUUGGAAUAAGUUGUGUUUGGAUUUAAUGGAUAGGAAAUUAAAUGAUUUG
This is a non-coding RNA of Camellia sinensis, 2072 nucleotides long. The record is from RefSeq and is a predicted model, not a curated record. NCBI's taxonomy places the organism in Eukaryota, Viridiplantae, Streptophyta, Magnoliopsida, Ericales, Theaceae.